RNAcentral lists this long non-coding RNA (2103 nucleotides) under Heterocephalus glaber (naked mole-rat). Its description in RNAcentral is "lncRNA (ENSHGLG00000043928.1)". Lineage: Eukaryota; Metazoa; Chordata; Mammalia; Rodentia; Bathyergidae. The record is from RNAcentral.
CUCAAAAAUGAGAUCCUCCUACUCGGCCUCCACAGCAGCUGGGAUUACAGGCACAUGGUGUCAUUCCUGGCUAUUGUUAUUUUUAAAAUUUGUUGCUGGCCUGCGCAAGUGCAAGGACCUGAGUUCGAUCCUCAGUACCAAAAAAAAAAAAAAAAAAUUUCUUGCUGGGGCCUCGUGCAUGCUCUGCCACUGAGCUAUGUCCCAGCCAAAGUGUUACCUUUGGAGGGGAAGGAGGAGCUUGAACCUACAGAAGGCCCUGCAGACGGCUGCUAGAACAUCAGCAGUCCCCUAUUCUCAUCCUGGGUGGCGAGUAUACAGGCGAUAUUUUCCCAUAGUUCUUCAAAUGGUAUUUAUGUUCUGUGUAUCUUUCUGAAUGUGUGUUUUAUUCAACUAAACUAUGUGAUAUUGCCACUAUUCAAUCCUGUUAAUCUACAAAAUAGUGAUUUAUAUGAUUCAACUUGAUGUUCCACAAUAAAAAAAAAUAAUUUACAUCAAGUUGAGAAACCAUUCAACAUGAUGGUUGUGAGGGCUAUCAAAAGCUUCAUUCUCCAGUUAUUCAUUAUUCAUUCACUAUUCAUUCAUGUUUCCGGGGAGGUUAUUCUGAAGCAGGCAGAUUUCUAGGCACUGGGAUACAGUGGGAAUUCUGUCCUGGGGCUUGCCAUCACACGGGAAAAGUGAUCAAACCACAAACACGGAACCAUCUAGCAUGUCAUAUUGUGAUAUGUGGAAAGCAAAACAAGUAGAGGAAGGGAACAGGGAGGAGGAGACAUUUUAGGAAGGGGAGUCAGAAAAACCAGGAGGAGGUGGCGCCUGAAAACACCACGGGAUGGAGGGCGAGAGGGAACGGCUGCAGUGUCGGGGAGCUCAGCAGAGGCCCCGGGGACAGGCCCGGCUGGACUGAGGGCCAAGGAGCCUGGUGUUGCUGAAACACAGCGAGGGAAGGAGAGGAUGGGAGACUUGAGAAGGGAGGAGGCAGCAGGGACAGUCAGACGUAAGACUGCACGGAGGGGGCCGGGGAUUUAGCUCAGUGGUUUCGCUGCCUGCUGCGCAAGCUCAUGGACCCAAGUUCCAUCCGCGGUACCCCCCCCCCAAAAAAAAAAAAAGACUGCACGGAGGAGGACUUGGGAUUUCUCCCGAGAGUCUCAGGGCUUGGCGGGAGGGCAGAGAGCAGGAGCCAGCGACUGGAUGUGAGGUUUAGAACCAAGUAUCUGGCUGUUCCGGGGCGGGGUGGGGGUAAGUAGAGGCCGGGAUUCCCUAAAAUGCUCCCACCCCGUCCAGGACGGCACAGACAGAGAGGGCAGUAAUGGCGUGGCACAAAGCGCUUUGGUGUCAAGAUCAAUAGAUUUUAGAUUUUGUAGGCAGAACGCAGAUAGGAUUUGUUUUUUCUUUUCUUUUCUUUUCUUUUUUUUUUUUGGUGCCAGGGUUCGAACUUGAGACCUUCUGCUUGCGCGGCAGGCACCAGAACCACUGACAUAAAUCCCUGGCCCCAGAUAGGAUUUGUUGACGGACUGCAUGUAAGCUAAGAGGAAGAGGAGUCAAUAAUGUGUACAAUACUAAAAAAAAUAGAAGACAACCGUGUACAAGCAUUCUGCUCACCCGUGUGUGGUGCUCUAGCUGCCACUGGACCACGGUGAAAGAAGAUGAGGUGGGAAUCCCUUGGAGGAAAAAGAACUCUCACCGUCAAAGGAAAUUCUGCAAGGAGCUUUACACUCUCAGAGCCAAGGAGGGAUGUAAACGCUCACACCAGACCUGGGAAACACCUCAUCUGCAACUCCCUGGCACAGUGAGCUUGCUCAGCUGGUCUCAGGGGAGCCUACCAGGGCUGUGGGCUUGGAGUCUUAGGAGCUGGGUUCCCUCCUCCAGUCACCUCGCCAGUCUGUGUGUGUUGGUUUUUGUUUUGGUACCGGGGAUUGAACUCAGGACCUUGCGCUUGCGAGGCAGGCGCCGGAACCACUGAGCUAAAUCCCCGGCCCUACCUUGCUAAUCUGAAGCUUGGGAUCCUCCUUGCAAGUGGGGAUAUCAGUAUUUUCCCCUUUCCAGGAUUGAUGCGACAGCCAAGUGAGCAAUGGAUGGAAUGAUAGUUUAUUAGCCGUUAGUCACUCU